GCUAGAUUCUGCCUCAGUGCCAGACACCAGGUUAGCACAGAAACUGUUUGAAGACAAAGAAGUUCUCAGAAGUGAGGAUAAGUAUCUCUUGCAGAGGCAGAAGGAACUGGAACUGAAGGUUCAAGAGCUGGAAUGUGAACUUGAGAGAGAGAAGGAAGCAUCCAGGAAGACUGCUGCAAAGUUUGAGGAAACCCUGGAUACUUACAUUGGAACAAAAAUGAGAAGUUUGGCUGCUAAGGUGAAGGCAUUGAAAGAAGUUAGGCACACAAAUAAGAACAGUCGUUUUAGGGAGCAGCUCUCGGAAUCCAU
RNAcentral lists this long non-coding RNA (309 nucleotides) under Calidris pugnax (ruff). RNAcentral describes it as "lncRNA (ENSCPUG00000010865.1)". The record is from RNAcentral. Lineage: Eukaryota; Metazoa; Chordata; Aves; Charadriiformes; Scolopacidae.